Long non-coding RNA from Salvia miltiorrhiza (redroot sage), 1291 nucleotides. RefSeq lists it as uncharacterized. The transcript is spliced from 5 exons. NCBI's taxonomy places the organism in Eukaryota, Viridiplantae, Streptophyta, Magnoliopsida, Lamiales, Lamiaceae. The record is from RefSeq and is a predicted model, not a curated record.
AUUUAAUUUUUUAUUUUCAUAAUUAAUUUAUUAAUUAAGUAAUUUAAAAAUAUUGUAUAAUUAUAUCUCUCAAACUCGAUUAGUCGCCGCCGCUGCCGAGGCAAGUUCCGACGAAUGGUAGCUAUUCACGCUCUUCCGACGACAUCGGUUGCCGCGAUCUCGCCUCUCCUGUUCUUCUCUGUUCGGUACAGCCCAGCCGUCGCCAUCUCAGGCAGACCGGCGAGCUGCGCGACCUAGAGUCCGCCCAUCGCUGCUGGUGGUUCGAGGAUCGGCGAGCCGAUGGUGUUCUACGGCCGGUUCUCUUCUCAACUCCACAUAAUCGAGGUAGUAAAGGGGGAAAGGCCUAAUUCUCCUCUCAUCCUCCAUCUGCCGUUUCGGCCGUGAGCUUCCGGUGAGGCCGCCGCUGAUUUAUUUUACUGCAUUAGGUUUUAUACUAAAAAGCAUCAUCUCAAUAAGAGGAACGAGUAGCACACAAGAAUUAACCACGUAGUGCCAACUGCAAAGCUACAUAAAGCACAAACGGAGAUGUAGUGGGGAUGUGCUAUACGAUCAGAAUUAUUUUGUUGGUUGGGCGGAGUCGGAGGAGAUGGGAGGAGGAUGCAGAUUGCUCAUGGAUUAGGAGCGUCCAUGGCUGAGCCGUGGUUAAUUGGCUGCUCAUGCAGAUUUAUCUAGUACUUCUUAAAUAAAUCCCCCGUUGAUGAUAUGGAAGGCGUUGAUGUGUAGAACAGAAGUGAAUCCCCCGUUGUUCUUUCCGAAAGUAUGAAACCUGGAUUUGCUAGGGACGAAUGCAAACAAGUGUCAAAAGAAGGACAAAAUUUGAGAUUAGAUCUGUCAAAUAAGUUUCAAGAUGUUUUCUGAUACUCCCUCCGUCCACCAAAAAUAUGUCACUUUACUUUCGGCACGGAUUUUAAUAAAAUGUGAGUGAAAUUGGUAGUGGAGUAAGGGUCCCACUUUAAAUGUGAGUGGAAUGGUGUGGACCCUACUACUAAAAAUGGAUGUGGCAUAUUUUUUGUGGACGAACGAAAAAGGAAAUUGUGGCAUAUUUUUGGUGGACGGAGGGAGUAUAUUGUAAAGCUCCUACCCAGUUACGAGUAUUUUGUAUGAGUAUUUUGUGAUCUGGAGAUAAUGUAUGAAUAUUUUGGAUGUUAUAUAAUACUCCCUCCGUCCCGCCCAAGAUGCUACAUAUUUCUUUUCGGGCCGUCCCAACAAAGAUGCUACAUUUCUAUAUUUGGCAAAAAUAAGGAAUUUAAACACUUAAUUAACACUAAUUAAAUAUUUCUUUAUUAUCUUC